GCGCAAAGAAAAUACAGUAUCAUCAAUAAGCACGACAACGUCAAAUGGUCAAAGAUCAAUUUCAUCGUUCAAAAUUUCGAAUUGAAUAGUUUAUAUCUUUGAAUCAUGCUAAACACGGGAAAACUUGCUGGAAAAACAAUUUUUAUUAGUGGAGCAAGUCCUGGAUUUGGUAAAGCUAUAGCUUUAAAGGCAGCACAGGAUGGAUCAAAUAUUAUCAUUGCUGCUAAAACAGCUGAGCCGCAUCCAAAGCUUCCUGGAACAAUUUACACAGCUGCUGAAGAAGAUACGACCUAAUGAACGGUGUCAAUACCAGAGGAACAUUUUUAUGCUCUCAAGCGUGUAUUCCAUAUCUGAAAUUGGCCAAGAACCCUCAUAUUUUAAACAUCAGUCCGCCAUUAAACAUGAAACCUCUUUGGUGUAAAGGACACGUAGCAUUACAGUACUCCAGCUGUUUGUGUGAGUGCAGUCUAUUAAAAGAAUAGAAAAGAAGAACUGAAGGAAGUUUCAAUCAGACAAAAGACCGAGCCAAUCAAAGACAAAGGAGACGCUUGACAAAUCAAACUUAAUGCAUUAAUAUGGCUACACAAUGCCCAACGCAGAAUUAUAAAUAAAGGGUGUUUCAAUGGAUAGUUCUUGUUUUAACUAGAAAAAUCAUUAUGGAGCUGAAGGAAAGCAAUUUCAUUCAUUUGCCUCUGAAUAAAUUGGAGGGAAGCCAUCGAUUGGAUGAAAUAUGAAAACAAAGCAUAUGAUUGGACAAAACUGACUAAAAAUAUCACUGAUUGCAUUGCAAGAGUUUACUUGUAACUGCAAUAGCUGACAGAGAGGAGAAGUUUCCGUCCUAUAAAAUAACGUAAAAUAAUGUACAUCGCUACUCUCGAGAUUAUUUUGCUUUUUCUAAUAAAAGUCAUCUACUGCAAUUAUAAUGAUGACAAAAAUGCCAUGUUGAAGUUAAAAGACAAAGCAAAAGAAAGUAUUUUUAAGAGACAGAAUGGCAAAGUAACAAGUUGUCGAGGACUUCCAGGACUUCCAGGCAGAGAUGGACGUGAUGGCAGAGAUGCUUCAUUGCGUGGUCCUUCUGGUAAGCAGGGAAAACCUGGUCCAGCUGGUGCACCAGGACCUAAAAGUAAAGCCAAGUCAACCGGUGGAGUGGUCUAUACCA
Molecule: long non-coding RNA, 1159 nt
Organism: Xenia sp. Carnegie-2017
Lineage: Eukaryota; Metazoa; Cnidaria; Anthozoa; Malacalcyonacea; Xeniidae
Exons: 8
Source: RefSeq, a predicted model, not a curated record